CAAAUACCUAGAGGCAAGGCACCAGUUUGUGGAUUCCUGCCUGCCAUCACCCCUGUCUCAGCAUGUCCCAGCCCUCCAGUGCUCAGGAUGAACAUUAAGUUCCUGGACAUAGCUAAAGUAGAGAGAAAGUCUGGCUUAUAGUACAAUCCUGUUUGUUUACUUCAAAGGAAAUCCCACUCAGUUCAAUGAAGGAAUGUUAGCUUCAGGGAGAUGACUGCAUCAAGAUGUUAACUGGCUAAUCAGUCCUCAGAUCUAGCAAGCUCAUCAGUUCACUAAAGAGUGAAAGAGUGAAACAAAGAUCCAGCAAGUGCAGUCUACAUGUGGUCUGCCUUCAAGUCAUUUCUUAGGUGAUUCUAAG
Molecule: long non-coding RNA, 358 nt
Organism: Sceloporus undulatus (fence lizard)
Lineage: Eukaryota; Metazoa; Chordata; Lepidosauria; Squamata; Phrynosomatidae
Exons: 4
Source: RefSeq, a predicted model, not a curated record